RNAcentral lists this ribosomal RNA (447 nucleotides) under uncultured bacterium. RNAcentral describes it as "bacterial SSU rRNA". It matches the Rfam family "Bacterial small subunit ribosomal RNA", at positions 330 to 794 of the family's 1533-position model. The record is from RNAcentral.
GCCAGACUCCUACGGGAGGCAGCAGUGGGGAAUAUUGCACAAUGGGGGAAACCCUGAUGCAGCGACGCCGCGUGAGCGAUGAAGUAUUUCGGUAUGUAAAGCUCUAUCAGCAGGGAAGAAGAUGACGGUACCUGACUAAGAAGCCCCGGCUAACUACGUGCCAGCAGCCGCGGUAAUACGUAGGGGGCAAGCGUUAUCCGGAUUUACUGGGUGUAAAGGGAGCGUAGACGGCGAUGCAAGCCAGGGGUGAAAGCCCGGGGCCUAACCCCGGGACUGCCCUUGGAACUGCAUGGCUGGAGUGCGGGAGGGGCAGGCGGAAUUCCUGGUGUAGCGGUGAAAUGCGUAGAUAUCAGGAGGAACACCGGUGGCGAAGGCGGCCUGCUGGACUGCAACUGACGUUGAGGCCCGAAAGCGUGGGGAGCAAACAGGAUUAGAUACCCCCGUAGG